This is a long non-coding RNA of Plodia interpunctella (Indianmeal moth), 744 nucleotides long. RefSeq lists it as uncharacterized. Lineage: Eukaryota; Metazoa; Arthropoda; Insecta; Lepidoptera; Pyralidae. The transcript has 3 exons. The record is from RefSeq and is a predicted model, not a curated record.
AAAAUAUUGAAACAUAAGUUCACGUUGGCUCUGUUUUCUGCUUCACUAUACAAAAAGAGUUUUGAAUAUUUUUAUAGAGUAACUAUCUGCCGAUCCACUCGAAAACAUCCGCAAGCUUAACAUUUUUUCGACAUCCGCGUAUUUCGGUUAGCCGUUGUCACCGGUUUCGAGAAGUUCUCCCUGGGCAGAAAAAACUGACCCGCACAGUAGCAGUUUGAGCUACCUGCGCCAGCGCCGCACCCUGUCUCAACAGCCCUUAUCAUCCUCAAAAAUAAAUACAAAAUCCAGGAAACAAGAGCGGGCCACCCACGUCGACAGACAGCGCGGGCAGACUGGUAUCGUCAGACAAAAGUAUUAGCUGACUGUUGGUGCCUGCGACUCAAGAUGCGAGUAUGCCUGCGCACAAUGACGUGACUAUCUCCUUGCAGAAAAAAUCCUGGUAGGUUCAAGUCAUUUAAAACCGCUGUUAUCGCAAUUAAUGCAUUGAAGAAAUUGAACGAUUAGGAGGAAUAUAAGUAAUGGGUUUCAUAUUCAUAAGUAUAAAUAUGAAAAUGUAAACCGUUUCAGCUUGGAAAUUUUGUAACUUUAGUUAAACCCCAUUCACUGCUAAGUUUAACUCUCUCUUUCUUUAAUAGAUUAUAAUACCGCAUGUUUAACAUAAGUAUAAUAAUACUUGUAUUGUAAAGAAUUGGGCAGUAUUAAAUGACUAAAGUAUUAAAUUAAGUUUUAAUAUCACGGUCUCAA